Danio rerio (zebrafish) is the source of this 572-nucleotide non-coding RNA. The record is from RefSeq and is a predicted model, not a curated record. Lineage: Eukaryota; Metazoa; Chordata; Actinopteri; Cypriniformes; Danionidae.
CAUGAUGGUUAUGUUUUCAGACUGCUGAUUGGAGCUCCUCGUGCUAAAGCAUUGCCAGUUCAAAACGCCAAUAUAUCUGGUGGUCUGUACAGGUGUAAAUUCACAACUCAACCUGAUGACUGUGAACGCAUCCCCGUUGAUAUAAAAGCUCGAUCUAAAGAUCAUCCAGGAGUGGACUAUAGAGAAAACCAAUGGCUAGGUGUUAGUGUUCAAAGUCAGGGACGAGGAGGCAAAGUAGUGACCUGUGCACACAGAUACCAGGAUUGGAGCUUCACUAAUCAGCGGUUAUUGGGCAGAUGCUUUGUCCUGGGACAGGACCUUGUAUUGGGGACGGAUGGAGCAGAUACGAGAUCAUUUUGUAGGACUCGGGAGACAGAUAAACACAACUUUGGGUACUGUCAACAGGGUCUCUCUGUAGCUUUUUCCAAAGACAGCAAAUAUCUUGUUUAUGGAGCUCCAGGAGCAUAUGACUGGAAAGGCAUUGUGCACAUGGAGCCUGUUGAGGACUUCUCUCUGGAGAUCUAUGAAACAGCAGAUGAACACGAACUCAAUCCUGUGGACAUCAGCAGCUU